Molecule: long non-coding RNA, 485 nt
Filed under: Eucalyptus grandis
Lineage: Eukaryota; Viridiplantae; Streptophyta; Magnoliopsida; Myrtales; Myrtaceae
Description: long non-coding RNA (EGRA_LNC007944)
Source: RNAcentral
GGGCUCACGAACUCUCUGGGGGAGGACGCUCUCUCUCUCUCGCUCGAAAAAAAGAGGAAGAAAAACGGACUGUCUUCAUCUCUUGCUUGGCGGAGAGCUCACGAGGAGGAAAGGGGAAUCGAGGAGAGGAAAAUCACUCGAUCGCCAUCGCUCCCUUCCCUUGCUUCGCGUGCGAUUCGAGUCGAUCGGAACAAUCGUCGGUGGCGACGACGGCGACGACAACCACAGCGGUGCUGAUAGAGGGCUCGGAGAGAUCUGGCACUAGAUCGGAUUGGGCUCUCCGAUCGGUGCCUCAACGUCUAGGGUUUUUGGGGGAUUUCGAUCGAUUGAAGCGGCGGCGACGACGACCAGUGAUGACAGCCGCUCCCGAUCUAUACCUCUCUCUGUUCUAGUUCGACGGAUUGUUCUCGCUCGCUCGAUCAAAGAUGGAAUGGCUUGACGAGGAGUUCGACAGGGAUUCGGUUUCCGAGAAUCAACAGCAACGG